CGGGGUGCAUGGAGCUGAUCGCUUCGGUGUGAAGCACCAUGUUACCUAGUGGCGAACGGGUGAGUAACACAUGGGUAACCUGCCCUUAGGAUUGGGAUACUCCCGGGAAACCGGGCACAAUACCGAAUAUGAUUCCGAGGUGAAAUGCCUAGGGAUAAAAGCUCCGGGCAACCGUAGCACCUGAGGAUGGGCCCGUGGCCUAUCAGCUUGUUGGUGAGGUAAAAGCUCACCAAGGCCGAGACGGGUAGCCGGACUGAGAGGUCGAUCGGCCACACUGGAACUGAGACACGGUCCAGACUCCUACGGGAGGCAGCAGUGGGGAAUUUUGCGCAAUGGGCGAAAGCCUGACGCAGCGACGCCGCGUGGGGGAAGAAGGCCUUCGGGUUGUAAACUCCUUUAGUACGGGAAGAAGCCUUCGGGUGACGGUACCGUAAGAAUAAGCCACGGCUAACUCUGUGCCAGCAGCCGCGGUAAGACAGAGGUGGCAAGCGUUGUUCGGAUUUACUGGGCUUAAAGGGCGUGUAGGCGUCCUGAUAAGUCAGAUGUGGAAGCCUUGGGCUCAACCCAAGAAUUGCAUUUGAAACUGUCGGGAUUGAGUCGUGCAAGGGAGGGCGGAAUUCCUGGUGUAGCGGUGAAAUGCGUAGAUAUCAGGAGGAAGGCCGGUGGUGAAGACGGCCCUCUAGGCAAUGACUGACGCUGAGGCGCGAAAGCGUGGGGAGCAAACAGGAUUAGAUACCCCGGUAGUCCUAGCUGUAAACGAUGAGCACUUGGUUGAGGGAACUUCCACAUUCUCUCAGCCGG
Molecule: ribosomal RNA, 801 nt
Filed under: uncultured bacterium
Lineage: Bacteria
Description: bacterial SSU rRNA
Rfam family: Bacterial small subunit ribosomal RNA
Source: RNAcentral